Molecule: ribosomal RNA, 1110 nt
Filed under: Providencia rettgeri
Lineage: Bacteria; Pseudomonadati; Pseudomonadota; Gammaproteobacteria; Enterobacterales; Morganellaceae
Description: partial 23S ribosomal RNA
Rfam family: Bacterial large subunit ribosomal RNA
Source: RNAcentral
AGUUGCAGGGUAUAGACCCGAAACCCGGUGAUCUAGCCAUGGGCAGGUUGAAGGUUGGGUAACACUAACUGGAGGACCGAACCGACUAAUGUUGAAAAAUUAGCGGAUGACUUGUGGCUGGGGGUGAAAGGCCAAUCAAACCGGGAGAUAGCUGGUUCUCCCCGAAAGCUAUUUAGGUAGCGCCUCGUGAACUCAUCUUCGGGGGUAGAGCACUGUUUCGACUAGGGGGUCAUCCCGACUUACCAACUCGAUGCAAACUACGAAUACCGAAGAAUGUUAUCACGGGAGACACACGGCGGGUGCUAACGUUCGUCGUGAAGAGGGAAACAACCCAGACCGCCAGCUAAGGUCCCAAAGUCAUAGUUAAGUGGGAAACGAAGUGGGAAGGCUCAGACAGCCAGGAUGUUGGCUUAGAAGCAGCCAUCAUUUAAAGAAAGCGUAAUAGCUCACUGGUCGAGUCGGCCUGCGCGGAAGAUGUAACGGGGCUAAACUAUGCACCGAAGCUGCGGCAGCGAACGUAUCACUUAAACUGAUUAAGUGAUAUUCAAUAGUAUCAGAACGAUUGACGGAGCAACGCGACGUCAAUGCGUCCAACAAAGUCGAGGCGGAAACGUCAGACAGUCAGUUUAAGGAUACGUUCGUUGGGUAGGGGAGCGUUCUGUAAGCCUGUGAAGGUGUACUGUGAGGUAUGCUGGAGGUAUCAGAAGUGCGAAUGCUGACAUAAGUAACGAUAAUGCGGGUGAAAAACCCGCACGCCGGAAGACCAAGGGUUCCUGUCCAACGUUAAUCGGGGCAGGGUGAGUCGACCCCUAAGGCGAGGCAGAAAUGCGUAGUCGAUGGGAAACGGGUUAAUAUUCCCGUACUGGUGAUAAUUGCGAUGGGGGGACGGAGAAGGCUAGGCUAUCCGGGCGACGGUUGUCCCGGUUUAAGGAUGUAGGCAGGUGAAUUAGGCAAAUCCGGUUCACUAUAUGCUGAGGUCCGACGACGAGUCACUACGGUGAUGAAGUAGCUCAUGCCCCGCUUCCAGGAAAAGCCUCUAAGCUCUAGAUUAUCAUUAAUCGUACCCCAAACCGACACAGGUGGUCAGGUAGAGAAUACUCAGGCGCUUGA